This is a long non-coding RNA of Fukomys damarensis (Damara mole-rat), 493 nucleotides long. RefSeq lists it as uncharacterized. NCBI's taxonomy places the organism in Eukaryota, Metazoa, Chordata, Mammalia, Rodentia, Bathyergidae. The transcript is spliced from 3 exons. The record is from RefSeq and is a predicted model, not a curated record.
UGAACUCAGGACCUUCUGUUUGCGAGGCUGGCAGCACAGUAAAGGAAGGGGAAAAAAACAGGAUCAUCUUGACUAAUUCAGGGAUAAAAUUUGACAAAACUCAACAUCCUUUUUUUUCUUUUUAAAGAAGAACUCAACAAACUAGCAAUGAAAGUAAACCACCAUAACAAACAAAUACCAUGUGGUGUAUGAAAAGCUCACAGCUGACAUUACACUGAAUAGCAGAAGACUGCGAUCUUUCCCUUGAGGUUCAGCAAGACAGCUGCUGUGGGACUUUUGCUCCAACAAUAAUUGGGAUCCAGAAAAGAAGUCCCAGGUUCCAGGCAUUCUCUGCAUUACUAUUUUGAAAAAUAAGGAUAGAACCAGACUAUCUUCCAAGAAGUAGUGCUGUAUUACGUCAAAUCUGCUCUCCUACCCCUCCACAACCAUUGCACCGUCAUCAGAGAGCACCCCACCUUGUCUCCCUACCCUCCAGUCACAGACCACGUCAAAC